AGAACACGGCCGGAGCGUCGGCGGAUGGUUUGUCUGGUUGCCUCUCUGUUUUUGAUUUCUGUCUAUUACAUCGUAACAUGCAUUCCUACAAGGGUUCCAUUGGACUGGAGUCUCAUUACUCUGUGCGCUUCUUUGGGAUAUAGUCUGUCACACAUUACCAGCUUUGACAGAAGUGUGAAGGAAAUACGUGAAAUGGCCUGAGGCGUAGCCACGGCCGGCUUAACCACAAACAGGCCGUGCCAGUCUUCUCACAACAGGUAUUUCUGUAGCACGACUGAGAGGUGAAAGUGUAGCUUAAGUUACUCCAAAUGAGAAAAUGCUGUCGCAGGGCUUUCAUGUCCUCGACCCAACAGCUAUGUGUCGCGGUGAUACCCAUGAAAAGCAGUUUUGAUGAUGAUGUC
Gasterosteus aculeatus aculeatus (three-spined stickleback) is the source of this 401-nucleotide long non-coding RNA. NCBI's taxonomy places the organism in Eukaryota, Metazoa, Chordata, Actinopteri, Perciformes, Gasterosteidae. The record is from Ensembl.